This 739-nucleotide ribosomal RNA is filed under the name Physopelta cincticollis. Its description in RNAcentral is "SSU rRNA". It matches the Rfam family "Eukaryotic small subunit ribosomal RNA", at positions 1052 to 1791 of the family's 1831-position model. Lineage: Eukaryota; Metazoa; Arthropoda; Insecta; Hemiptera; Largidae. The record is from RNAcentral.
AUCCGCCGAUGUUCCUCCGAUGACUCGGCGGGGAGCUUUCCCCGGGAAACCAAAGCUUUUGGGUUCCGGGGGAAGUAUGGUUGCAAAGCUGAAACUUAAAGGAAUUGACGGAAGGGCACCACCAGGAGUGGAGUCUGCGGCUUAAUUUGACUCAACACGGGAAACCUCACCAGGCCCGGACAUUUGAAGGAUUGACAGAUCGAUAGCUCUUUCUCGAUUAAGUGGGUAGUGGUGCAUGGCCGUUCUUAGUUGGUGGACUGAUUUGUCUGGUUAAUUCCGAUAACGAACGAGACUCUAACCUAUUAACUAGGCGUUUCCGGUAUACAAAGCUACCGGCGAGAUUUAUUCUUCUUAAGGGGACAAACGGCUUUUAGCCGCCCGAGAAUGAGCAAUAACAGGUCUGUGAUGCCCCUAGAUGCUCUGGGCCGCACGCGCGCUACACUGAAGGAAUCAGCGUGUGCCCCCCUGGCCGAAAGGCCCGGGUAACCCGCUGAACCUCCUUCGUGCUAGGAAUUGGGGCUUGCAAUUGUUCCCCAUGAACGAGGAAUUCCCAGUAAGCGCGAGUCAUAAACUCGCGUUGAUUACGUCCCUGCCCUUUGUACACACCGCCCGUCGCUACUACCGAUUGAAUGAUUUAGUGAGGUCUUCGGACCGGCGAUAACCGGCACCGGUUUCAUAGCUGGUAUCGAUUUCGCUGGAAAGAUGACCGAACUUGAUCAUUUAGAGGAAGUAAAAGUCG